CUACUUACCUGGCAGGGGAGACACCACAUCUCAAAGGUGUUUUUUUCCCGGGGUGAAAAAACCAUUGCACUCUGAAUGUGCUUAUGCCUUCAAGUUCCUCAAAUUCAGGGAAAUUCAUCUACAUAAUUUGUCAUAGUUGGAGGCUGUGUUUGCUCUCUCCUC
Molecule: small nuclear RNA, 162 nt
Organism: Acomys russatus (golden spiny mouse)
Lineage: Eukaryota; Metazoa; Chordata; Mammalia; Rodentia; Muridae
Product: U1 spliceosomal RNA
Exons: 1
Source: RefSeq, a predicted model, not a curated record